AGUGAGGAGUGGAUGCACAUCAUGGAGUGAGAUCAUGGUAGUGGUCAAUGAACGGAGCUUCAGCAAAAGGAGCUCCUGGGAUACAACCUUACAGAUACUCAAACCCUUCAUCCUUUUCUACAUGACGUCACUGUCCUGCAGGAAGUGCAGUGUGCAUGAAGGUUUGUGCAAGUCACUGAGACCAUGGUUACCCUGGAUCACCGGGCUGAGGGCUCAUUCCAACUCUGAAGAUUGCUGUUCUUCAUCUGAAAGUCUGUCAUGCUUCCAAACCUAUCAGCUCAACACUGGGUGGGUCCACAGAGCUCAGGCAAGUCUCAGCUGAGAUCAUCGCAACCCCAAAUGACCUGAGCCCUGGGUAUGCCACCUACCAAGAAGGUGGCAGCUUGGACACUUGUUUCCUGGGCCACAGGGGGCAGGAAGACAGGGUUGGUCUGUGGGACUCUGAAGCUGGCAUUUUAAAGAUGCUGCAGAGGGAAGUCCUGGCCAUGUUUGUUCCACCAUGGCAGGUAUGGUGGGGAGAACAGGAUGGCUCCUCCUGAGCAGAUCUAAGGAUCAGCAAGGGAGAGGUCUUCCCGGGAGGGCGUAGGAGCAUCGUUUAAUGAGGACGAGAGUGUGUGCUCCGGCCAGAGUGGACGGUAGGUGACUGAGGUGCUCCUCUCCAACUGGGUCAUCCUCACCAGGCUCUGUGAGUGGGAUCAUCUGAAGCUCAGUGUCCUCACUCUGGAAAUGACAACACUGCCUUCCUCGCCACCUCCAGGGUCCUUAUGGGACCCCUAGGAGUGAAGGUGAUUUGAAAGUGUGCUUUGUUCUGGCAACGAAGGCAGGGUUCUUCUAAGAGGUGGAUCGUUAGGACUGGAGGUGGGCAUGGCAGCCCUGCAUGCAGCAAGGUCGCCUGAAGCCACAGCAACCCCAGGGAAUUUCCUCUAAAUGAAACUGUGUGUCUAAAUGAAGUUUCUGUUUUAAAUCAGACAGUGACCUAAUUACUGCUGGAGUUUCUUGGAUGUUUCCCUGUAUACACUGGCAAAUUGGAGAAGAGACUGACACACUUGAGUUGCUUGGUAUUUAGAGCAAUUGACAACCCUGUGGAGCCAGGCCAAAGCUCUGAGCAUGAAUUAAGUCUGGUGCUCCCUGGCUCUGUGUCCUCGGGCGAGAGACAGCUGCUCCUAGCUUCAGCAUCCUCCAUGGAAAUGUGGAUGCAAGACCUGAGAUCCAGCAGAGAGAGGAGGCGGGCCUGUGGUAGCCCAUCUGUGGGUCCUGCAGGAAGGCUGGAGGGGCAGUCACUGGAAACCCACUAUGCCAGUCUUGAGCCAAUCCCCAGGACCAGAGCAUCCCAGGCACUGGUUGGCUUUGGUUUUGGAUCCUGCACUCUACUUCUGAAGCUAGUUGGUGGGGAGCAAGUCCCUGGGCUGAAGGGAAUUGGGCAGGAAGCUUUGGGGACAGAGUUCACAGGACCUGGCCUCAUUGACAUAGAUGUGAGCAGAGUACCUAUCCUAAAAUAAUCCUUUCUCUCUGUGGGGCUUAGGACCUCAACAUUUCAGCACCACUGUUGAAAUCUAGUUCCAAAUUCCGUUAUGGCCAAUGAAUGUACAGACUAGAUAAACUAGAGGUACCCAUUUCAUUAACCUUUAUUCAUAUUUCUCUCAUCUUCUCUAUACAGAAAACAACUAAGUAGCAUAAACAUGAACUAAUAACAGAUAAAAUAAAUGAAAAUAAAAAGUAUCCAGUCAGGGCAUAAACACUUUUCUUGUGGUCCUGUAGCAGGAUAAGCUGAACUCAAAUACCCCCAACUGAGCCUCUGUUCCUCCCCUUCCAAAUGGAAUUUGUCUGUGAGCCUCAAUCCUAACAUAAAAAAAAAUAAAACACCAUAUCAUUUAUGUUUUAAGCUCAAUAAGUGAUAAGAAAUCAGUGAGCAGCAUUUGCUGACCUGUGGCCACUUAACCACAAAUGUUCUUGCUUUCCUUCUCCCCAAGAGUGCAGCAGAGUUAAUAUUCCUGUUGUUAAAUACCAUUUAGUAAUUGUCUCUGCAUGGUACUGAGGGGCUGUUAGAAAACAAGUGACUCAAUCCAGCAAAUCCUUUUCCUCCUGAGUCCCAGGUGCAGUCCGUUGGAGAAGGCCGUGGGCAUGUCAGCGCCUGAGAGAAGAGAGCUUCUCUGUGGGAAAGGCUGAGGGUUCUUUCCUCACACCUGAAGAGUCAAUAUCCCCACUAGGGAUAAGUCUUCUCAAAGAAACAUCGAGACUCUUAAGUUUAACCUCACCAAAGCUGCACUGAUGGGCUUCCUGAGGGCCUGAUCACCUGGAGCCUGCCCUAACGUCACAGCGUGUCCUUGCAGAAUUUGAUGUGGAGAAAAGACCUAGAAAAAAUUAAAGACAACUCAUGCUGUGAGCCUGGAUCCCAGCUCGGACCAUUGAGUUCCAGAGCUCCUGUUCUUAAUCUCUAAUCCAAGUCCUUGUCAAACGUCAGGAUCUGAGGAUUCUGGGGGUUGGGAAAUAUGUGAUGUCUACCUGCGGGAAUCUCGCAGGCCAGUGUAUAACAUGAUAAAACAAUACUAUGUGUGUCAUUACAAAUUGUGGAAAUGAUUUGCAGAGAAAAAUUUAAUGUGAGGAGAAUAAUAAUUUCUGGAGAACUCAGAGGAAAAGGAUAAACUGAUUUUGUUAACUUUUUUUUGAGGGAGGCGCUCACUCUCUAGUUCAGGCUGGGCUUGAACUCAC
Molecule: non-coding RNA, 2709 nt
Organism: Heterocephalus glaber (naked mole-rat)
Lineage: Eukaryota; Metazoa; Chordata; Mammalia; Rodentia; Bathyergidae
Source: RefSeq, a predicted model, not a curated record